Molecule: ribosomal RNA, 720 nt
Filed under: Bacillus pumilus
Lineage: Bacteria; Bacillati; Bacillota; Bacilli; Caryophanales; Bacillaceae
Description: bacterial SSU rRNA
Rfam family: Bacterial small subunit ribosomal RNA
Source: RNAcentral
CCCGGAUGUUAGCGGCGGACGGGUGAGUAACACGUGGGUAACCUGCCUGUAAGACUGGGAUAACUCCGGGAAACCGGAGCUAAUACCGGAUAGUUCCUUGAACCGCAUGGUUCAAGGAUGAAAGACGGUUUCGGCUGUCACUUACAGAUGGACCCGCGGCGCAUUAGCUAGUUGGUGGGGUAAUGGCUCACCAAGGCGACGAUGCGUAGCCGACCUGAGAGGGUGAUCGGCCACACUGGGACUGAGACACGGCCCAGACUCCUACGGGAGGCAGCAGUAGGGAAUCUUCCGCAAUGGACGAAAGUCUGACGGAGCAACGCCGCGUGAGUGAUGAAGGUUUUCGGAUCGUAAAGCUCUGUUGUUAGGGAAGAACAAGUGCGAGAGUAACUGCUCGCACCUUGACGGUACCUAACCAGAAAGCCACGGCUAACUACGUGCCAGCAGCCGCGGUAAUACGUAGGUGGCAAGCGUUGUCCGGAAUUAUUGGGCGUAAAGGGCUCGCAGGCGGUUUCUUAAGUCUGAUGUGAAAGCCCCCGGCUCAACCGGGGAGGGUCAUUGGAAACUGGGAAACUUGAGUGCAGAAGAGGAGAGUGGAAUUCCACGUGUAGCGGUGAAAUGCGUAGAGAUGUGGAGGAACACCAGUGGCGAAGGCGACUCUCUGGUCUGUAACUGACGCUGAGGAGCGAAAGCGUGGGGAGCGAACAGGAUUAGAUACCCUGG